AAAAGUAACAAUGAACAUGUAACAACAACAAUAAUAAUACCAUAAGAAAAAAUGUGUUUCAUUGUGAUUACCAAUGUUGGAAGGGAUAUUACAAUCGGCCAGAUUAACUUCUCUUCGAUCUUUGAUUAAACUCCAUUACAAUCUCCACAUGUUCCAACCACAUAAUGUUUGAUAAAUGAAUCACCGCGUACAUGUGGUUUACAUCUCACUGUCACCUACAAAUUACCCUUUUAACGACCAUUCAUAAAUAGAGUAGAUCUCAUUAUUUUUUCUAGUAUAAUUUUGUUGAGGUAACCUAAAAUGCUUCUCCAUUUAUGCUUGAUUUCUUUUUUGUUUUAGGAAUUUAUCCAUAUACGAUGAACCUGUAAAUCUCUGCCAUAGAUCAAAACUUUUUGUGUAUUUCCAAAUGAUAGUAUUUCUAUUUGUCAAUAAUUAUUACAUGUUAGUUUCGUCACAAUCUAAUCAAAUAUGCAUUGAAAGAAAUUCAAGAGCAAAGAAGAGUUGCACAGUAAAGUAUUACAUUUAUCAAAUUCAGUAAUUAUAUUUUUCUGAGUAAAGUGAAAGACAUUCGUAGUUAUUCUCAAUUACAAAAACAAAUCUUAAAUCUUAUUCAAAUAGGAGAGAAGGAAACAAACAAUCAAAGAAGGUAAUGUUGAUAAGCAAUGAACUUAUAUUAUUUAAAAGCAAAUGAAUGGUAGACUUAUAUAAUAGAUUCGUCAACAGUCCAGCUUUACGAGACUUAUUAAUGAUGAUCCAGUUUUGACUUCUCUGUUCAAAUGUAUGUGUAUGCAGGUAAUGCGUUUUUUCUGGUAUCAUCUCUACCACCUUAUUCUUUCCCUUCAUAUUCUACAAUCAAAACAAGUUGUGUUUAUGGAAUUCAAAUUUAUUCAAAAGAUCCAUUCUCAAAGGUAAUUUUACCUGGAUGGAGUGGAGACCGUCAACAUUUUGUACAUCUCAUGGUACACAAGAUAUUGGAGAUACCAUGAGUGUGUUGCCUUCACCUUCCUUGAUAAAUUCCUUUUGUAACUGCUAGAAAUUGGACAACACAACAACUUCAUCAAUUUUAGUUGCAUAUUUGGAAAAAUAUCAACACUUGGAAUGUUUAUCUAUAGAAGUGAAUGUUUUGAUAGUAGUUCAGUUCAAAAUAUGUUGCUUUUAAUUAUGUUCCUAGGUACUAAGUUGUUGAUGUUGUCCAUCUCUUAACAUGUUAGCCACUAGGGUAUUAACUCUUGUGAUUAAUGAAUGUGACAUUUGAUGAAUGGGUAUAAAUAAAUAGCUC
Molecule: long non-coding RNA, 1279 nt
Filed under: Capsicum annuum
Lineage: Eukaryota; Viridiplantae; Streptophyta; Magnoliopsida; Solanales; Solanaceae
Description: long non-coding RNA (CANN_LNC018831)
Source: RNAcentral